UUGUGGAGGAGGACGCCGAAGGUGGGGCUAAUGACUGGGGUGAAGUCGUAACAAGGUAGCCGUACCGGAAGGUGCGGCUGGAUCACCUCCUAACAGGGAGACAACAAAAUGUUUAAUAUUAUUAUUUUGUCACCUUAGGUCGAUCGGUAUCUCACGUUCUUAAUUUGUUAAGAAUUUCAAUUCCUAAGUUUUUCUAGGUCACACCCAUUAUUUUUCCUGGGCCAUUAGCUCAGGUGGUUAGAGCGCACCCCUGAUAAGGGUGAGGUCCCUGGUUCAAGUCCAGGAUGGCCCAUAUCUCUAUGUUGGGGGUAUAGCUCAGUUGGUAGAGCGCCUGCUUUGCAAGCAGGAUGUCAGCGGUUCGAGUCCGCUUACCUCCACUGAUUACCACCUCUUCCAUAACUGGUAGAAAGGAAAUUUUUUAAGUUGUGACCAUUAUUCUGAACGAAUCUAGCUUCCUAAUGAAUCCAUUAAGAUGCUGGACUCAUUGAAUUAAUUUCAUUGUUUUCAGAGAACCUUGACAACUGCAUAGAUUAUUUUUAAAGACAAUAAGCAUCUUUUAAUGAUGCAGAUUUAUUAUUUGUGCGAAUGCAUUAAUAACAAUUCUAUUAAGCUGAUGCUUCAAUUUUUGAAGUUAUUGGUCAAGCUACAA
RNAcentral lists this unclassified non-coding RNA (649 nucleotides) under uncultured Prochlorococcus sp. Its description in RNAcentral is "partial 16S-23S ribosomal RNA intergenic spacer; may also contain 16S ribosomal RNA and 23S ribosomal RNA". The stretch from base 305 to 377 matches the Rfam family "tRNA". The record is from RNAcentral. Lineage: Bacteria; Bacillati; Cyanobacteriota; Cyanophyceae; Synechococcales; Prochlorococcaceae.